Molecule: ribosomal RNA, 545 nt
Filed under: uncultured bacterium
Lineage: Bacteria
Description: bacterial SSU rRNA
Rfam family: Bacterial small subunit ribosomal RNA
Source: RNAcentral
AAUAGAUACCCAGGUAGUCCACGCCGUAAACGAUGAGUGCUAAGUGUUAGGGGGUUUCCGCCCCUUAGUGCUGCAGCUAACGCAUUAAGCACUCCGCCUGGGGAGUACGGUCGCAAGACUGAAACUCAAAGGAAUUGACGGGGGCCCGCACAAGCGGUGGAGCAUGUGGUUUAAUUCGAAGCAACGCGAAGAACCUUACCAGGUCUUGACAUCCCAUUGACCACUAUGGAGACAUAGUUUUCCCUUCGGGGACAACGGUGACAGGUGGUGCAUGGUUGUCGUCAGCUCGUGUCGUGAGAUGUUGGGUUAAGUCCCGCAACGAGCGCAACCCUUGUUCUUAGUUGCCAUCAUUUAGUUGGGCACUCUAAGGAGACUGCCGGUGACAAACCGGAGGAAGGUGGGGAUGACGUCAAAUCAUCAUGCCCCUUAUGACCUGGGCUACACACGUGCUACAAUGGACGGUACAAACGGUUGCCAACCCGCGAGGGGGAGCUAAUCCGAUAAAACCGUUCUCAGUUCGAAUUGUAGGCUGCAACUCGCCUACA